AAAACUUUCAACAACGGAUCUCUUGGUUCUGGCAUCGAUGAAGAACGCAGCGAAAUGCGAUAAGUAAUGUGAAUUGCAGAAUUCAGUGAAUCAUCGAAUCUUUGAACGCACAUUGCGCCCAUUAGUAUUCUAGUGGGCAUGCCUGUCCGAGCGUCAUUU
Molecule: ribosomal RNA, 159 nt
Filed under: Dematophora buxi
Lineage: Eukaryota; Fungi; Ascomycota; Sordariomycetes; Xylariales; Xylariaceae
Also listed under: 1 other name
Description: Rosellinia buxi 5.8S ribosomal RNA
Rfam family: 5.8S ribosomal RNA
About the family: 5.8S ribosomal RNA (5.8S rRNA) is a component of the large subunit of the eukaryotic ribosome. It is transcribed by RNA polymerase I as part of the 45S precursor that also contains 18S and 28S rRNA.
Source: RNAcentral